Anas platyrhynchos (mallard) is the source of this 2442-nucleotide long non-coding RNA. RefSeq lists it as uncharacterized. The record is from RefSeq and is a predicted model, not a curated record. NCBI's taxonomy places the organism in Eukaryota, Metazoa, Chordata, Aves, Anseriformes, Anatidae.
UAUGUUCACGGCCCUCAUCUACUGUCUGUAAUGAUUUCCAUUAACCAAGUGGGCAGAUGGAAGAUUUUGGAGGGCAAGAGUCUACAAGCAAAUAGUACUUUUCAAUGGAUGAUAACUUUGAUUUCAAUAUUCAUAUCCUAAAUCAUUAUUCAAUGUAACAUUUGCAGGCUCUGACCCAGGUGGCUCUGCCUGGUUUGAAGGACUCUUUCCUGUGAGAUAACCUUUUUCUUCUCUGUGAUUAACUGUCAAAAACAUAUUAGUCUUUACACCCAUGUUUGUCUUGCUUAGUCAUCUCUCCAAAAUUUUAUUUGGACUUAAAAAAAACAACCAACCAACCAAAAAAACAAACAAACCACUACUGAAGACAAGGUUUGUUAGUAAAUAAAAAUGUAUGUUAUAAGGAAAGUCUUGAAAGAGUUAAAAAAAAUAAAUAAAUAAGAGUCCAUUUCAAGCCUUUACAUUUUGAAAACAUUGAUGAAAUUAGUUUUUCACUGUUUUACCACCACUACUUUCAAGCUUCCUUCCCACGCUGCUGUGCGAGUUACUUGCAGAAUACUCGGGGAUACAAAUCUUCACCAAGCUUGACUCUCAGUUUCUCUGACAAAUGCUCAUGCUGUGAAAGAAGAGACAUUCAGCUGCCCUGGAUUGAGCAGGCUGUCAGACUUCCCCAGAGAAGUUACCAUGGAAAGAAGCUUCUUCGAAACCUUGUUUAAAGUGAGGGCUGUUAAUCAAGGCCUUGGUGCUCUCAUUAGAGAGGGAGGGAACCAUUUAAAGUCAGGAAGCUGCAGUAUAUGAAAGUCAUGAAAUUGAAAUGAAUGCAUCUUUUGCCAGCUGGUUUCACACCCCCAGUUGGCAAUCCACAAAGGUUUAGAGGGGGAAUUAAAUCCAUUUUUCAGCAGAAAUAACUAUUUUUGUGAUUAUCAUAUAGAUUCCAUGAGCUACACUUUGGUCCUAUCAAGACAGGCAGGCAGCUGCAUGAGAGGUGGAAAGAGAGAAAAUGAUUGAGAUGAAAUCACCACCAACAACUAUUGCAGGCAGGAAGGCAGUUUUGGAUCCCAGCCACAAUACUUCUGCAACCUGGUUUGAAUGGGCCUGACGGGAUGCCAUAAUGGAACCUACACUGAACAAGGCUGAGAGCAGGUGUCUGUGAUGAGAUCCCAUGCUGUGACAUGCAUGCAGCACAUUCUUACAUGAAAAGCCCUGGCUGAUGAAAUGACCACAGGAAGACAACAUGGAACCCUCCCGGCAGGAUCAGAAGAAGCUUAAUUAAGCUCUGUGGUCAAUUUUGAAGACUUAAUAUUCUUUCCUGAUUUCCCUGAAGCAGCAUGAGAAAUUCUUUACAUGUGCAUGACUAUGGCUAUUGCAGUGGUGGUGAAGCAGAGAUUUGACAAGUGAAGUGUUCUAACAGCGCAGGAAGUCAGUGAUGAAACUGCAAAGGCAAGACUAAAGUACUCAUGUCUAUCUUAAUGCAGAAUAUGUGGUGAAAAACUGUAGCCUGGCUGUAUGUGGAUUGAUGGAGUGACAAAGAAAAGCUUAAGGCUUCAUAAACACCUUUGCUUUUCUCAACGUCCUUUUGUCAGAAGCAUAGCAAGAAACUUCAGUCUGGCUUUCAAAAGUGCUGAACACCCAAAACUCCUACAAAGGUCUCCAUGAAUCACAGGGACCUGGACACCUGCGCCAGCAAACAUGGAGCCAUGACAGUGUCCAGAUAGGAUCGCCCAGGCAAUGCAAUGCACCAGGUUAUAAGCCAAGUGAAGUCCUGCCCACCUAUCUACUACUAGACCAAGAUGCUUUUACUGGAUCUGCUGCUUCUCAUCUCUUUGAUGCUGCUGCUCCAACCCUUAUAUCAAAACAGAACCAAGAACUGAUUCUUGAAGACUGGCACUUGUAAUUCGUCACCCAAGGGACCCCAGCUGUUCUUAUGUUUGCUGGUGCCAACUGACUCAACUCAAGGUUGCCUACUUGUGUGCAUGGGGCAAAUGGCAACUUAAAGUUUAACAUCUCCUGACUUCCCACUGCCUCUUCUUGCAACAUCUAUGUUGUUACAACAUGUGAUAUAAAACCAGAACAAUAUAUAAAUGUGAAAAUGACUCCUUUAAAUGAACAAGGAAUAUGGCAGACAAUGAAGAAAAGUGCAGAGGAUUAAAUGUGUAUCAUAGAGGGAAUAUAUUGUAUUAACUAAAUGCAAACAUAUUUUCUUGGGUUUUGUGUUUUGGAAUGAGAAUGAAUGGGACAGAUCAGCAGAACAGGGAUACCCCUGGUGAAACUUCACUUAAGUCAGUAGAGUUACACCAGGGAUACAUUUGGCUGAUUCUUUUGCUAACGGCUGUAUGAAAACUUUAAUAUAGAGUUUCUGCAUGUGUGAAGUGUAUGCCAAGACAAAUGCAACAUGCUAAAUGGAACCUCCUGAUUUAUUUAAAUUAAAAAUGCAUUACAAAAAAA